RNAcentral lists this microRNA (24 nucleotides) under Caenorhabditis brenneri. Its description in RNAcentral is "cbn-miR-259". Its record names the gene cbn-miR-259. The record is from miRBase by way of RNAcentral. Lineage: Eukaryota; Metazoa; Nematoda; Chromadorea; Rhabditida; Rhabditidae.
UAAUCUCAUCCUAAUCUGGUCGCA